UACGGCUGAGUAGAACAAACCACCGGAUAAUUUAACCCGCCUCUACGCAAGGUUCUCCGGUGGAAGAGUGAGAGAGAGAGAGAGUUAGUCUUCUUCUUUUCUAUAGAAAGUUCUCCGUCUGCUGCGGCUGCGUCCGCCUCUGGUCUCAGUUGGAAGAAGAGAGAGUUUCCUUUCGACCUAGCCUAGGUAGGAGCCUUAGCAAGGGCACUUGACUUCGGUCGGUCCUCUCUCGUUCGAAGCAGUUCCAGGAGGAGGGUGGUGGAAGUGUUCCCUCCCGUAGAGGUCCAGCUCCAUCGUGGUGACCGUUGGUACCUCCGCCGAGACCACUCACGUCGCUGCCCUCGGAACUUUGGGCAAGAUCGUUUCGACCCACGAGACCGUCCGCUACUCAUGUUCGCCAAGUUCCCACACGCACUACUAUAGUUCAGUGAGUGCGCACUUGAGUGACGGUACCUUCGUAAAGAAGAGUUCUACAGUCUCCUUCUCCUGGGACUACAAGUCCUAUUCCACACCUACUUACUCCACGCCCUCGAGAGAAUACUGUACCUCCUGAGAUAGCUACUGAAGUACGUCUUACACCCGUCGGUUCUAAGUUUCGGUCUACCAAAGAACCUUUUCUACUUCUUGAGCAACCCCUUCUACUUCCGAGCAGCAGCGUAGCCUUUACUCUAGGUACUAGACUUCUUUGUCUAGUGUCUCCACCGCCUCUCCUUACUUUCCAUGUUCCGAGCACUCCGGAAGAGGUUCCGAUUCUUAUGUUGGCAACUGGGGUCUCGAGAACGAUAGAAAGUCGUACGGAGGCUCGAACAGCCUUAACUACUUGGGUUCCGGCUCUAUUAAUUUGACAACUGUGUUCCACUCAGUUGUGUUCUCUUUUACUUGAACGAUAGGUAACAACCUAGACCUCCUUACCCUUUCUGUUGAGAACGUUUGGUUCACAUAGUUCUAGAGUUUCCUUUUAAAGUUACAGCUCGGAAGAAUAGGCAAAGUUCCUUAGGUCUGUACUACUUAUAGGAUUCCUGAUAAGAAUCACUUCAAUCACCGGUUGCAAUGUGGCUGUGGCUUCGUCCUUCAUAUGUUGUUGAGUAGUAGUUCUAGUGACUAAAGGAUCAUCUGUUUUCCAUAAAACAACAAGAACUGCUAUAUACCCUACACCUAUGUACCCUAUAAUAAUUCGAACGUAAAGGGAACUGAUCAAGACCGUCAUAGUAUUAGUGUUGAUGGGCAUUUUUACUACAACGACUUAGUACGGUAAACUUUGGUAAGUUACCUCUAUAAAUAGCGUAUUCCGGAGAACUAUACCACGUGAGAUCCGUCAAUAAAAUGUGUUCUAAUAAGUUGAGGCUUCUUUUAACGGGGAGUAUGGAAUUUUUCCAAAGACUCGUAUAUAACUCUUUUACACGACCUAACGGAAACCGUUAGUAACGAUAUAGACCAAACAACCGAUUAUGACUUUCCUGUCUCCCAGGUACCUUUGUUCAACUUCUAAGCUAACCAGCUCGUGAACUUUCUUUAGGGUCACAACUUCCUUACUACUUCUAUAACAGUGAAUCAAUGAAACUUAACGGACGAGUAGACUUUAGAACAGAAAAUACAAACUCAUAUAAGGGACUUCUAAGACAAUAGUUAUUCUUUAAAAACUAUUUCUCCACCUAACGACUUUCUAAUUAAGUAUGUCUUCGGCCUAUAUCAUGUUGUAUACUUAAACCACUUUCCACAAAAUUACUCGAGUAGUUAUCCUCAAACUAGGUCGGACCCCUUUUUCUUUAUCUACCAUGAUAUUUCUCAACAGCUGAAGUACUGUGUUAAGAACUAAAGUAGUAUAGGUCCAGGUAGCUUCUUUUGAAACAAUGAAACCACCCACAAGGACCAAAUUGACAACCCUGUGCGUUGUUUCAAGCAGCCGAGAGGGACGUUCGGCCGUUCCUUUUUCUUCACUAUGACGGUUCUCCGAACCACAACAGAGUACAUGCUAGUGAACUACACAAACCCCUUAGCCACUUUUAGGGAAGAUACCUGUUCAAGUCCGUAAACGCAAAAGACCUGAAACUUCUAACGUUUGUCGAUCUCUUGGUGGUAGAACUUUUAUAUCUCUCUAACAAAGUCGACUCCAUGAACUCGGAGGCUUCUCGCCUCUUUCAUUGAUUCGAGCAUCUUGUUUAGCCUGUAGAUUCCACAAAUCUCUAUGAUUUAAAUUCUCCGUGGGUACAAACACCCAAUGGUUGUAGAUAAGAGUUAGAGUUCUCUAACCACGUGGAUAAUCAGCUGUCACCACAAUGUGAAAGAACACCUUAAAGGUUCUACGUUAGUGACCUCUUAAACUUCGAACAGUCACAGAUGUUGGUAAGUAAAUUGAAGGACGUUCUUAACCUCGUCGACGUCUCAGACUUCUUUAACCGGGAACUAAAACUCCUAAUAUCAAGACGACUGGCUCACUUACGACUUUUACUCAGGUUCUCUCGAUAAUAACAGUGAAGGGAAUUUUUGGAUCCCUUGGAAGAUAGAGAUCGAUAAACCCUACCGGGGCUUAAACAUCCCCUUAGAGACACGGGAUACGGUGAAUUGGAGGUCUUCGACUUUCAGGCACCAAGAUAAUAAGGGGUACAAGGUUUAACCCACCCGAGGGAACAGUUGGAGGUCCUCAAUGCGGAACUUAACAAGUCUCGACUCGUCUUUCUAAAGAUAUAGGAACCUCCGAAUGGACAAGACGCAACAGACUAAGACUCUUAAAAACUGGCACUUUAAUCUUUAUGGAGUAAUUGUCUUCUCGGACUUCAAUGUUCCCAGUAUCAGACACCACUCCAACCUAAGGGUACGAACUCCUAUAAAUUAAUACUAUUACCCAUGCCACCAUACUUAAACUGGAAACGCCGACCUCGGUACGGGUUCCAUCUACUGGAGAGCUAUCUUAAAUUGCGUCGUUUUUGACCCAGAGAGCUAUGGUCGCCACGAAAACUAGAGCCUUAUCUUUUAGAGGGGCCGGAGGAAUUUUAGUCUACAAUGCAUACCCCUCUGCAGUUCCUAUCUUAACUUCGACGUCUUCGACGGUAAGCCCUUCGUUGGUUGCGUGUAGGGUUGGCGGGAUGAGAACUGAACCUGACUAUUACGCAACGGCCUUAGCUCGAGUCCCUUGUUACGAUUACUCUGACGUUAAGGUUUCCAAGCAGUAGUGACGUAAAAACUCUAGCUUGUUAAGCAGUAGGAGACGCUCCUACCUAGACGGAGGGACGACCUUCUAACGUCUUCUUUUGCCGUCUCAUCCGCUUCUUCUGCGCCACCUUGGUCCGGCGCCUUCGAUCGACCACCCUCCUCUACUAGUCCAAGGUCCUCUGCCGACGCUCCGGGUGGCUUCUUUACAAGCCGACGAAGCCGACUCGUCGGUCGUGCGUGUAUCUAAUAUUGGACUUAUUAGUGGCACUAAAAACAUCUGAUCGAGAUCGAUCUUCUACAAGUACGAGAACGAAAUAACCAAGAGUUGUAACCAGUAUUCGAAGCUAGUACCUACAUAAUAUGAUAAACCCUCUCACUUAAGGACAAAGAUGGUGAUGAAUCUGUAAAAAAAUGCGCUUAACGGGUUAACUUGUCAAAAGCAGGCCUAAUGGGACAAAAGGAAAAAAAUUGAGGCCGGAAGAAUUACUCUUUUUGUCUCGUGGACUGUGUCCUCGGCUCUGGUUAAUUACCUAUGUUAGACACGUGACGGUUACGUCGGUACGAUUCUACGUUGCUAGCUAGGCAGAACGACGGACGACGUCUACCUGGUCGUCGCGGUUGUUCUCGUGUCGUUCCUGGUCGUUGGCUGUGUCCGCGCCACGACCGUUUCGCUCUACCUCUCCUCUUGGUCUUCUCGUUCCGGCUGUUGUCCACCGUACGGAGCUGAGCAGAGUUGAAUUGACUUGGCUUGGCUUGACUUGAAAUGUGUUCUCUUAGGAGACGUAGAAACCAUGCAUCGAUGGAACUGACCACUUCCCGACUCGUGUUCUACAGCAGGCAGGAUAGUACCCUCUUCUGGUUCUUCUGCCGACAGGUUCGGUUCCAGGCUUGUGCCCUCCUCUUCGACCUCUUCUUCUUCCGCCUCAUGCGCCUCUUCUACGCCUUGGCAUAGCGCUACUAGGUGUUCCUCCUCGUCUCCCCGUCUCCCGGCGGCACCUCCGCUCCGCCGUCCUCCUCUACUAGUUCAUGGUCCUCUACCGGUGACGUGAAUAGGCAUACACCAGCUAUGAGUGAGGUUGCCUCCGGUCCCUCGUAAACCAAUGAUCUAGAUAGGCUACCCUCUGCCAUCGAGCCCUAAAUAAGUUGGCCAAACUUACUGCCAGUACAUUAUCCUAUCGACAAAUCAAAGGAUAGAUAAUAUAAACGAACGGCCAACACCGACAGACCAAACGACGAAAACACGAGACACAACUCGUGUCGGAAAACAAACAAACAAACUCUGAUGUUCUGAUAAC
This 4445-nucleotide ribosomal RNA is filed under the name Triticum aestivum (bread wheat). RNAcentral describes it as "partial small subunit ribosomal RNA". Lineage: Eukaryota; Viridiplantae; Streptophyta; Magnoliopsida; Poales; Poaceae. The record is from RNAcentral.